This 376-nucleotide ribosomal RNA is filed under the name Leptolyngbya sp. AECC1328. RNAcentral's name for it is "bacterial SSU rRNA". It matches the Rfam family "Bacterial small subunit ribosomal RNA", at positions 377 to 770 of the family's 1533-position model. Lineage: Bacteria; Bacillati; Cyanobacteriota; Cyanophyceae; Leptolyngbyales; Leptolyngbyaceae. The record is from RNAcentral.
CGAAACGUGACGGAGCAACGCCGCGUGAGGGAGGAAUGCCUGUGGGUUGUAAACCUCUUUUCUCAGGGAAGAAGAACUGACGGUACCUGAGGAAUCAGCAUCGGCUAACUCCGUGCCAGCAGCCGCGGUAAUACGGAGGAUGCAAGCGUUAUCCGGAAUUAUUGGGCGUAAAGCGUCCGCAGUGGCUUACCAAGUCUGCUGUCAAAGCGCAGGGCUUAACUCUGUAAGGGCAGUGGAAACUGGUAGGCUAGAGUGCGACAGGGGUAGAGGGAAUUCCCAGUGUAGCGGUGAAAUGCGUAGAUAUUGGGAAGAACACCAGUGGCGAAGCGCUCUACUGGGUCGCAACUGACACUCAUGGACGAAAGCUAGGGGAGCG